This 345-nucleotide unclassified non-coding RNA is filed under the name soil metagenome. RNAcentral describes it as "partial contains 5.8S ribosomal RNA, internal transcribed spacer 2, and large subunit ribosomal RNA". The stretch from base 1 to 120 matches the Rfam family "5.8S ribosomal RNA", at positions 35 to 154 of the family's 154-position model. The record is from RNAcentral.
GAUGAAGAACGUAGCGGAAUGCGAUACGUAAUGUGAAUUGCAGAAUUCAGUGAAUCAUCGGGUCUUUGAACGCACAUUGCGCCCCCUGGUAUUCCGGGGGGCAUGCCUGUCCGAGCGUCAUUGCUGCCCUCAAGCACGGCUUGUGUGUUGGGCCUCCGUCCUCCUCCCGGGGGACGGGCCCGAAAGGCAGCGGCGGCACCGCGUCCGGUCCUCGAGCGUAUGGGGCUUCGUCACCCGCUCUUGUAGGCCCGGCCGGCGCUUGCCGACACAUCAAUCUUUUUUCCAGGUUGACCUCGGAUCAGGUAGGGAUACCCGCUGAACUUAAGCAUAUCAAUAAGCGGAGGA